GAUGAAGAACGCAGUGAAAUGCGAUAAGUAAUGUGAAUUGCAGAAUUCAGUGAAUCAUCGAAUCUUUGAACGCACAUUGCGCCCGCCAGUAUUCUGGCGGGCAUGCCUGUUCGAGCGUCAUUUCAACCAUCAAGCCCCCGGGCUUGUGUUGGGGACCUGCGGCUGCCGCAGGCCCUGAAAAGCAGUGGCGGGCUCGCUGUCACACCGAGCGUAGUAGCAUACAUCUCGCUCUGGGCGUGCUGCGGGUUCCGGCCGUUAAACCACCUUUUAACCCAAGGUUGACCUCGGAUCAGGUAGGAAGACCCGCUGAACUUAAGCAUAUCAAUAAGCGGAGGA
This 336-nucleotide unclassified non-coding RNA is filed under the name soil metagenome. RNAcentral describes it as "partial contains 5.8S ribosomal RNA, internal transcribed spacer 2, and large subunit ribosomal RNA". The stretch from base 1 to 120 matches the Rfam family "5.8S ribosomal RNA", at positions 35 to 154 of the family's 154-position model. The record is from RNAcentral.